AAGAACCCAUUUCAUUUGGAACUAAAAUUUUAACUUAUUGCAAGUGCUUUUCAGCAGAUGAAAAGCAGAAAAAUUUAGCUUUUCCAGCUAAAAAGAACUUUCGGGUUGUUCUUUUACAUUUUUAGCCACACCACACAUUUGUUCUUCUCUGCUGGUUCUUCUCUGCUGGUGCUGGUGUUCCCGACGGCUACCCUUUUUGGUCCAAAUUUUGUUCUCUGCUGGUUCUCUGCUGGUACUGGUGUUCCUCUGCUUGUUGGUUCUUUGUUCCUCUGCUGGUGCUUGUUCUUUGUUCCUUUUCUCCACUUUUCAAAAGCCUCUGGUUCUUUGUUCCUCUUCUCCCCACCACCGGUUGUGCCUGAAGCUAAAAAAUUUAGAACAUCGGGCAUUGAUCCUGAAUUCGAAGCGAAGUUGGACCAAAUGUUCAUGGGGAUAGUUGCAACAGGUGAUAAAGCAUGGGCACCUUCUUCUGGUACACUCCGUAGUGAUUUUUUUGAAGAUGUUAACAACGAAAUACCUGAAGAGAAUGAAGAAGAAAAUAUGAGAAAUGAUGUUCACAUUUUAAAUGAUGUUCACAUUUCAAAUGAUGUUCACAUCUCAAAUGAUGUUCAAAUGGAUGGAAACGGUCAAAAAAGAAAAAAACCCUGAGAUAUCAAGUUCACGUUUUAAAACUAGAAGAAAGAAAUCCUCAAAGCAAAUUGGAGGGUUUGCAAGAUUAUCUAGUCAAAUAGAAAAAUUAUGCAGUGCAGCUGACAAUAUGAGUCAAGCCACAUCUAGUUUGACUCCUGUUAUGGAUCUAUAUGGUAUUCCAUAAGCAGUCAAAGUGCUUGACAGCAUGUCGGAAGAAGUUCCAGAAGCUAGUCCGCUAUACUUUUUCGCACUUAAAUUACUGCUCAAUAAGGACAAGCGAAUUAUGUUUUUAUCAAUUAAUCCCAAGAUUAGAGCUUUAUGGCUUAAGACGGAAAUGGAGGAUAGUUGAAAAUUUUCUGAUCUUCUAGGGUUCAAAGAUAUCUAUUAUGUGACUAGCUGACAAUGCUAAACUAGUUUUAUCAAUAGAUAUUUAUGUUUGGUUUUUGGAUAUUGAAUUUAUGUUCUACUUAUUUAUGUGUAAUCUAGUUUUAUUAAUA
This is a long non-coding RNA of Gossypium raimondii (Peruvian cotton), 1124 nucleotides long. RefSeq lists it as hypothetical. The transcript has 2 exons. NCBI's taxonomy places the organism in Eukaryota, Viridiplantae, Streptophyta, Magnoliopsida, Malvales, Malvaceae. The record is from RefSeq and is a predicted model, not a curated record.